Molecule: ribosomal RNA, 394 nt
Filed under: uncultured bacterium
Lineage: Bacteria
Description: partial 16S ribosomal RNA
Rfam family: Bacterial small subunit ribosomal RNA
Source: RNAcentral
AUACGUAGGGUGCUAGCGUUAUCCGGAUUUACUGGGCGUAAAGGGUGCGUAGGUGGUCUUUCAAGUCGGUGGUUAAAGGCUACAGCUCAACCGUAUUAAGCCGCCGAAACUGGAAGACUUGAGUGCAGGAGAGGAAAGUGGAAUUCUCAGUGUAGCGGUGAAAUGCGUAGAUAUUGAGAAGAACACCAGUAGCGAAGGUGGCUUUCUGGACUGUAACUGACACUGAGGCACGAAAGCGUGGGUAGCAAACAGGAUUAGAUACCCUGGUAGUCCACGCCGUAAACGAUGAGUAUUAGGUGUCGGGGGUUACCCCCCUCGGUGCCGCAGUUAACGCAUUAAAUACUCCGCCUGGGGAGUACGCACGCAAGUGUGAAACUCAAAGGAAUUGGCGGGG